RNAcentral lists this ribosomal RNA (502 nucleotides) under uncultured bacterium. Its description in RNAcentral is "bacterial SSU rRNA". It matches the Rfam family "Bacterial small subunit ribosomal RNA", at positions 17 to 518 of the family's 1533-position model. The record is from RNAcentral.
UUAUGGCUCAGGAUGAACGCUGGCGGCGUGCUUAACACAUGCAAGUCGAACGAAGCAUUGUGAAUGAUUCUUCGGAUUGAUUUCACUUUGACUUAGUGGCGGACGGGUGAGUAACGCGUGGGUAACCUGCCGUAUGCAGGGGGACAACAGUUAGAAAUGACUGCUAAUACCGCAUAACCCGCUAGUGCCGCAUGGCACAGACGGAAAAGAUUUUAUCGGCAUACGAUGGACCCGCGUCUGAUUAGCUAGUUGGUGAGGUAACGGCCCACCAAGGCGACGAUCAGUAGCCGAACUGAGAGGUUGACCGGCCACAUUGGGACUGAGACACGGCCCAGACUCCUACGGGAGGCAGCAGUGGGGAAUAUUGCACAAUGGGGGAAACCCUGAUGCAGCCAACGCCGCGUGAGUGAUGACGUAUUUCGGUAUGUAAAGCUCUAUCAGCAGGGAAGAAAAUGACGGUACCUGACUAAGAAGCCCCGGCUAACUACGUGCCAGCAGCGGC